CGUAACGGCGUUAAAACAAAAGAAUGAACACUGUCAUUCCUAAUUAAAGUGAUAAAAGCAGCAACAAGCGGACCGGCCAUGUUGGAGAAAAUUCAAUGAUUCCAAGGAAAAACUAGAGGACAACAACAGCUAAACCCAGGGCUUUACCACCAAAGGCUGGAAGACUCCCACUGGAAAUCAGGUGAUCAAGGUACUAACAAAAAUCGCCUGCCAGCCCCAUCUGACCAAUAAGCAUCAGACAUUAGACGCUUGUAAGUUCACCUAAAGUAAGGCUAUCUUCAAAGGAUCCAGACCGCCUCUUCACCCACAAAUGCCAUAAUCUCCUGUCUCGCAUCGAAAAAGGAUAACUAAGGCAAAAACGGUUUGUGGGUGCUUCGUGUGAAAUCUAAACUAAUGGAAAGGAAUAUCUCACGCAGACCCUGACCGAAGAGAUGACUGUGGACACUAGCCGGGGUCUGGGACCGGUGACUAGGGUCACCCACAACCCCCUCAGUCGCACCUAGGCCUUUACCACGCCCGAAAGGACGGCAUCUUCAAAGUACUAGCUUGGAACAAAGAUCCCUAUGGAGACUUCCUACCUGCCUAGAGAGAGCUCUAUCUAUUGGGGAAGGGUAAAUACCAUAUAAUACUGUGGAUGGUAUAACAAAAAAAAAAUAAGUAUCCUAGAUGAAAAAAAAAAUGCCUUCCUUUUCAAAAACUAAUUUCUUUUUUUUCUCUUUUUAUUUUUAGAUAAUCUGUACGUCCGUCCGUCCGAAUGUUUAGUGUUAAGUAUAACGAGUUAAGGGUCUAUGUAAGCCGUCACCUGGAGCACUGCGGUCUGCGAGCGCUUUUGAAGGAGGUCCCACGCUGGUGCAGAGGAGAUGAGCCGUUGGCGAGCAGCGUUUUUUUUUAUUUACUUUUAAUUCAAAAUUUUAGUUUAAGCUUUAGUUAUUUAUUCAGUCUUUUUUUUCCUUUUUUUUGUUAAGUUUAUAA
Molecule: long non-coding RNA, 972 nt
Organism: Stomoxys calcitrans (stable fly)
Lineage: Eukaryota; Metazoa; Arthropoda; Insecta; Diptera; Muscidae
Exons: 7
Source: RefSeq, a predicted model, not a curated record